RNAcentral lists this ribosomal RNA (404 nucleotides) under uncultured bacterium. RNAcentral describes it as "bacterial SSU rRNA". It matches the Rfam family "Bacterial small subunit ribosomal RNA", at positions 355 to 775 of the family's 1533-position model. The record is from RNAcentral.
UGAGGAAUCUUGCGCAAUGGGGGAAACCCUGACGCAGCAACGCCGCGUGAGGGACGAAGGCCUUCGGGUCGUAAACCUCUUUUCUGGGGGACGAGUAAGGACGGUACUCCAGGAAUAAGUCUCGGCUAACUACGUGCCAGCAGCCGCGGUAAAACGUAGGAGGCGAGCGUUAUCCGGAUUUACUGGGCGUAAAGCGUACGCAGGUGGCUUCGUUAGUCGGACAUGAAAGCUCCUGGCUUAACUGGGAGAGGUUGUUCGAUACUGCGGGGCUUGAGGUUGGGAGAGGGACGUGGAAUUCCCGGUGUAGUGGUGGAAUGCGUAGAUAUCGGGAGGAACACCAGUGGCGCAAGCGGCGUCCUGGCCCACACCUGACGCUGAGGUACGAAAGCGUGGGUAGCAAACAG